GUUAGCUGCAGAAGAAGCACCGGCUAACUCCGUGCCAGCAGCCGCGGUAAUACGGAGGGUGCGAGCGUUAAUCGGAAUUACUGGGCGUAAAGCGCAUGCAGGUGGUUUGUUAAGUCAGAUGUGAAAGCCCGGGGCUCAACCUCGGAAUUGCAUUUGAAACUGGCAAACUAGAGUACUGUAGAGGGGGUAGAAUUUCAGGUGUAGCGGUGAAAUGCGUAGAGAUCUGAAGGAAUACCGGUGGCGAAGGCGGCCCCCCUGGACAGAUACUGACACUCAGAUGCGAAAGCGUGGGGAGCAAACAGGAUUAGAUACCCCUGGUAG
RNAcentral lists this ribosomal RNA (321 nucleotides) under uncultured bacterium. Its description in RNAcentral is "bacterial SSU rRNA". It matches the Rfam family "Bacterial small subunit ribosomal RNA", at positions 474 to 793 of the family's 1533-position model. The record is from RNAcentral.